AGGCAUAUGUGCAGGAGAUAAAGCAGAACACUCUCCCAGAACAUGUGCUUGUCAUGAUAAAAAAUAAUGAGGAGGAAUUGCACCCGAAGGUCAAAGAAUCUUUUUCAAAAGAAAUGAAGGGCAACCAAAUCGAAAAUACCAAAGAAGCAGAUGGCAAUAAAAAAGCAGAAGGCAGGUGUAAAAAGAAAGACCUUGGAUACCUCUUCAUCGGAUGAUGAGUACCCAUGCCUGGUUUGUACGGAGCCAUUUGAGAACAGCCGUCCAGGAGAGGCUUGGGUCCAGUGUCUGAAAUGCAAACAGUGGGCUCAUGAAGAGUGCACCCCUGGCAAAGCAGUUUGUGUGUGCCAGAACUGUGAUUCCGAUGACGAGUCUGACUAGUGAAGUUUGAGACCUGACACAAAAUUAGUUUGAAUACUUGACAUGUUUUAUUUGACAGUUUGUUUGAAAUUAUUUUACAAUGGGAAUAAUUUAAUGGCCACAUUCCAGGAUUUAUUCAAGUUCAAUGAUUAAUCAACUUUUUCUGUGGCUGAAUUUAAUUUUUUAUUUGAAUAAAACAAAUAAAUAACACAAAACUAAAUUGAUUCAUGUUUUAUUUGCGGCAACAUCCAGUGUCUUGCCCCAAAUAGUGUGACAACUUACCCGCUCAUGGGGCAACAUGUCACGUGUUUACACUCACUAUUUAAAUGCCUAUAAGUAUGUACUGAAACAAGAUAUGAAAAUGAAAUGAAUACAAAAUAUAUGCCUGGGACUUUGCUCUUUCAUUUGGUAAGCCCAUAAAUCGCAAGAUAUAUAAAAGAGUGUAAAAAGUGUGACAACAUGCCCCGGUCUCCCCAACUGAAACACUGUAUGAAGAUGAUUGGCUUUCACCGUAAUGUAUUCAUGUGAUAACUUAGGAUGUGUAAUGGUAUAAGAACAGACACCCUACCCUGUCUGCUAAAAUCUAGAGUGUAUUCUCACAUUGGUGUGACGCAUUCUCCGUGCUUUGUUUUGCUGCAGUAUUAAUAAAGUUUGUAUUAUUGUAGCUCUCCUUGCUGUAAAGAACUGGGUUCUUCUAAAGGGGAAGUCAGCAGGAUCUCUAACUCGUUUCUGUCACAAAAGGGGCUGAGUCCCCCCAGUCCGGGACUGGAAAGGGAUAAUCCCUAAAAUAAAGACCGCCUUCGGGAGGAGAAAGCGAUACGAGAUCCGAAUAGUGAGGAAGGAGAAAGACUGAGCGGCAACCCCAAAGCAACGAGACCGAGACUUGGGCACACUACACCGGGUGUAGGGCGUGCCUAUGCGUUGAUGAACGCAACGGUCCGGGGCCGGAGAUCUCUUAAGGCCUUAAGACUCAUUUCAGGUUGGUACCUCUCUGUAAUUGUUAAAAUGGGGAAUAGUUGCGGGAAGGAGCUAAAUGUGGGCUGUGCUAAAUUUACAGGACCCCUAAGAAUAAUGUGGAACCAACACGGACCACCAGCUGUGGAAGGUUUAAAAAUUUGGCAGGAACAUGGGUUUGCUUUAAAUGGCACAUUUUCAACACAGAGGUUAGAGGAUGUUAGAAAGAAUAUGGAAAGUUGUUCUAAGAAAAGACAUUUUUGUAAAAAAAAAAAAAAAAAAAAAAAAAAAAAAAAAAGGAGUUAAGGGAACUUGAGUUAUGGGACAAGAGGUGCGUGAAAGGCAGGCGAGACAACAAAGGAAUAAUGACAAAAAAAGGGGAAACUCAGCCUCCGUCAUAUUUUUCAGUUGGGGCGAGUGGGAAAAGCACACCCUGUUUAUAUCCCUCACUAACCAUGUUAAAACAUUCCGAGGUUGACCCGGACCUGGACUGCCCGGUGCCCCGUCCACCUCCUCACGCACCUUCACCGCACCAGCCAGCCCCCGGUCCCCAACACCCCGACGAGACCGCCUGCUCCAGCCCUGACUCUGCCAUCGCCACCACGCCUACAGACUCCUGGAAGAGGGAUCCCUCAGCCACCAACAUUGACACCCUCCACCAGCCCCAGGAUCACCCUGUGGGAUCAACCAGGCACCGAACCCUCCACGGACCACACCAGGUCGGGAUUACCGUAUCAGCCACGGAAAAACUACCUGUGCGCAAUACCAAACUGUCAGUUCCCUGCCACAGGAACUGCAGCAGACGGAGCCCCUGUCUGUGCCUCACACACCGCAGAGGCAUGGGAACGCCAGUAUGGAUUAAAAGACAUUCCAGAAGGAGAAUGGAACAAAGAACCAUAUCAGGGUGAUCCCGAAGGGUGGUACGGACCUAAACCUGAUGGUCCUCCCCGCCCCCAGUUGACAAUGGGACAGUUUCCGAUGGUAGAAUGUCCGGACCCCCAUCAACCGGGGCAGGUACAAUUGGUGUAACAGCUCUAUACUAGGGACAAACUAUGGGCAAUCUGCACGGAACUGCCGAACCCAAGUCAUACCGGGGGAGAAACUUUCUAUCACUAAUUGAUGGAAAUAAUAGUGUGCUAAACCUAGCAGUAAUGAUCUGGAAGGCAUCAUGUGCAUGCACUUGGGCACCAGGUGGGGAAAGGUGAGAGACAGAGCUGGAGUACCGGGCGCUGGAGGGCAAGUGGCUGCCUUCGACCCUACCGUCAUCUAUAACCCAGCAGCAGGAUCCCCAUAUGGCUUACAGACUGCGGCUUUGAGGGCAGCUCUCGCACAUGUUUUUCCCACUCACCUGGAUACAGGUAAACUAGCCAGAACCGUGCAAACACCCGAAGAAACAGUGGAAGAAUAUGAAGACAGGCUGCAGUGUUAUGGAACUGCAUGGAGGACUGCUGAAGCCCCAACCAUUCCCGGGAGUGCAAAACACACCAUACGAGUCGUAUCUCAGUCAGCACUUCAUGAACGGGCUGAGACCCAGCCUACAGGCAGCGAUACAACAGACUCUUGUGUGAUGGCAGCAUGCCCGCCUGGAUGACCUACGACGCCAUGCACAUCAUGCGGAAAAUAAUGAAAGAGAAAAGAAAGAAAAAGACAGAAAACAAAAUCAGACGCAAAUGGUAUAAGUGACUGACCUCCAACUCAAAUAGCUGAAGAGUCAGCAGCCAGCUAGAGGAAGAGGCCGAGGACGUGGAAGGGGGAGAGGAAGAGGGGCUGGAAGAAGCGGUGACAGAAACGGCCCUUGUUAUGUCUGCGGAGAAGAAGGACAUUGGGCACGAGACUGUCCCAGGAAAUACAAAGGGCAGGGCGGAGGAGACCAAAGACUGGACGAAAGAGGCGAGCAAGAAUGGCAACACGCUCCACAGGGCCAGGGCACAGGGAGGAAUCAUCCUGAUCAGUUUGACGAACAAGAUUGAAGGUGCGAGGGGAAAGGUGGAUGGAGCAUGCGGCAGACGGGGGGAUCACAGAGCCACCGGCAGGGCAGCCGCGGGUCUAAAGAACGAAGCAAUACAGAGGAGAAGGAGAUAUUGUGAAGCGCCAGGGGAUGAGAUGUCGUCAGACAAACUGCAUGUAACAAUAAAGAGCAGGUGAAAGCAGCACAACCAACCGUACGAGAUGAACCUGGACACCAGCUGAGACCAGGAGACUGAGUGAACCUGGACACCAGCUGAGACCAGGAGACUGGGUGAACCUGGACACCAGCUGAGACCAGGAGACUGGGUGAACCAGGACACCAGCUGAGACCAGGAGACUGAGUGAACCUGGACACCAGCUGAGACCAGGAGACUGGGUGAACCAGGACACCAGCUGAGACCAGGAGACUGAGUGAACCUGGACACCAGCUGAAACCAGGAGACUGGGUGAACCUGGACACCAGCUAAAACCAGGAGACUGGGUGAACCUGGACACCAGCUGAGACCAGGAGACUGGGUGAACCUGGACACCAGCUGAGACCAGGAGACUGGGUGAACCAGGACACCAGCUGAGACCAGGAGACUGAGUGAACCUGGACACCAGCUGAAACCAGGAGACUGGGUGAACCUGGACACCAGCUAAAACCAGGAGACUGGGUGAACCUGGACACCAGCUGAGACCAGGAGACUGGGUGAACCUGGACACCAGCUGAGACCAGGAGACUGGGUGAACCUGGACACCAGCUGAGACCAGGAGACUGGGUGAACCUGGACACCAGCUGAGACCAGGAGACUGGGUGAACCUGGACACCAGCUGGGACCAGGAGACUGGGUGAACCUGGACACCAGCUGAGACCAGGAGACUGAGUGAACCUGGACACCAGCUGAGACCAGGAGACUGAGUGAACCUGGACACCAGCUGAGACCAGGAGACUGGGUGAACCUGGACACCAGCUGAGACCAGGAGACUGGGUGAACCUGGACACCAGCUGAGACCAGGAGACUGGGUGAACCUGGACACCAGCCUAGACCAGGAGACUGGGUGAACCUGGACACCAGCUGAGACCAGGAGACUGGGUGAACCUGGACACCAGCUGGGACCAGGAGACUGGGUGAACCUGGACACCAGCUGAGACCAGGAGACUGAGUGAACCUGGACACCAGCUGAGACCAGGAGACUGAGUGAACCUGGACACCAGCUGAGACCAGGAGACUGGGUGAACCUGGACACCAGCUGAGACCAGGAGACUGGGUGAACCUGGACACCAGCUGAAACCAGGAGACUGGGUGAACCUGGACACCAGCUGAGACCAGGAGACUGGGUGAACCUGGACUCCAGCUGAGACCAGGAGACUGGGUGGUGGUGAAGGACUUCCAGAAGAAGAGGUGGUGCGAACCAAGGUGGCGUGGGCCAUUCCAGAUCCUGCUCACGACUCCAUCCACAGUCCGGGUGACUGAACAAACAUCUUGGAUUCACGCCAGUCACUGCAAAUUGUAUUUUUCUGUGAACAUGUUAUCAUUUAUAUGAUAAAAGAAGGGAUUGUGGGAGAAAAAUAUAAUGUAACCUAGGAUAUAUGUAUCCCGAUAUGUACAAUGCAUAUAGUUAGAAAACUGCUUAAAAGAAUAAAAUGUGCUUGUGACAGAUAACCAGCAAAAAUGUAAGGGAGGGGUGAGUGCUCUGCCACACCUUACGUCAUAUAGGCAUACGUGCAGGAGAUAAAGCGGAACACUCUCCCAUGGUUGGGUGCGCUCAUGUGCUUGUUAUGAUAAAAAUAAUGAGCCUAACCUGCCUAAGGAGGAAAGACGGAUGAUAAAUCUCUCCUUGCUGUGAAAGAACAGGAAAGGUUGCUUGAAAGACGUCUCUCCAAGGAAUUUCCCCAACAACAUCUGUGGCAUCUCGCAGAUCUCAGCUCGCAGGUCACACAUUUUGUGAAACGAGCCCCAGCUCUUUUCAAAGAGAGCUGGCAGACAGGUCGGGAUCUGGCAGCCCUCCUUUAGCUCCAUCAGGCCCGCCAUUUUUGGAAAGGUUACUAUGACAGGCCCAUACGUGCCGUUACACUGCAGGUGAACAGGCCAACAUGUUCAGUUUCCCAAAAGUAGUCGAUGCCACUGACUGCACUCACCAGUGUAGGGAACAGGAUUAACCCAGCACUCACUCUGGCACACAGCAGUGUAGGGAACAGGAUUAACCCAACAUUCACUCUGGCACACAGCAGUGUAGGGAACAGGAUUAACCCAGCACUCACUCUGAUACACAACAAUGAAGGGAACUUGAUUAACCCCGCACUCACUCACUCUGACAUACAGCAGUGUAGGGAACAUGAAUAACCCAGCAGUCACUCACUCUGACACAUGAAAUUGGUAAACGCAAAUUCAUGGAACCUUAUUGUAUUGCUUGAGGUACAGCAGGUCAGUGUGUGGAAGUGCACACAACCUCAGACUGGGGCAAUGGUUCACCUUUCAGCACGACAAUGACCUGGAACAUACAGCCAAGACAAUGCUGGAGUGGCUUUGGGACAAGUCUCUGACUCUGUGUUUCUGAUACACACUGUAACCUCUACAUGAAUGUUUAUCAGGUUCAUACUCCUCAUUUUACUGUACUAUUUUAUCCAGGGUCUAAACUGCGUGCUGAUACAUUCAGCGAGCAAUUUAUUAGGUAGACCUGUACACCAACUUGUUAAUGCCAAUAUUUAAUCAGCCAAUCAUGUGGCGGCAACUAAAUACAUACAA
Molecule: long non-coding RNA, 6008 nt
Organism: Conger conger (European conger)
Lineage: Eukaryota; Metazoa; Chordata; Actinopteri; Anguilliformes; Congridae
Exons: 4
Source: RefSeq, a predicted model, not a curated record